GAGGCAAUAGUAUAAUGGCAAGUAUACAAGGCUGUCCCCUUUGAGAUCUGGGUUCGAUCCCCAGUUGCCCCG
Tritrichomonas musculus is the source of this 72-nucleotide non-coding RNA. Lineage: Eukaryota; Parabasalia; Tritrichomonadida; Tritrichomonadidae. The record is from the annotation of a GenBank genome assembly.